The sequence is a ribosomal RNA, 402 nucleotides long. It matches the Rfam family "Bacterial small subunit ribosomal RNA", at positions 355 to 774 of the family's 1533-position model.
UGGGGAAUAUUGCACAAUGGACGAAAGUCUGAUGCAGCGACGCCGCGUGAGGGAAGAAGGUAUUCGUAUUGUAAACCUCUGUCUUCGGGGACGAUAAUGACGGUACCCGAGGAGGAAGCACCGGCUAACUACGUGCCAGCAGCCGCGGUAAAACGUAGGGUGCGAGCGUUGUCCGGAAUUACUGGGUGUAAAGGGAGCGCAGGCGGAAAGGUAAGUUGAAUGUGAAAUCUAUGGGCUCAACCCAUAAAUUGCGUUCAAAACUAUCUUUCUUGAGUGGAGCAGAGGUAAGUGGAAUUCCAGGUGUAGCGGUGGAAUGCGUAGAUAUCUGGAGGAACACCAGUGGCGAAGGCGGCUUACUGGGCUUUAACUGACGCUGAGGCUCGAAAGCAUGGGUAGCAAACA